This is a long non-coding RNA of Cercocebus atys (sooty mangabey), 399 nucleotides long. RefSeq lists it as uncharacterized. The record is from RefSeq and is a predicted model, not a curated record. Lineage: Eukaryota; Metazoa; Chordata; Mammalia; Primates; Cercopithecidae. The transcript has 3 exons.
AAAAAAAUAAGCCAAGCAACCUUUGCCGGUUGCAUUCAACUACAGGGUUUGGAAAGGAUAAACCGACUGAACAGUCAGAAUGUGAACCACUGAAGGGAGACAAGUUGGAGAGGAAGCUGGUACAUUACUCACGAAUGAAUCAGACAUUCCCUCCCUCCUUGUUUGAAAAUGUCCUCCGCAUAAAGCAUGGUACAAUUCCAAACGAGGAACUGUGCUCAGGAUUGAAUUUAUAUGACUGAUCAGUUUCCUUUGCUGUUAUCGAAAGCAGAUAUCAAAUGGCUGUGGAGGAAUGCAGGUGUGGAAGCCUGGGACACUAUGAUGCAUUCAUUUUGGACUUGUUGCAUUUGAGAUUGGAGUUGGUCCAAAGGGAAGUUGUGAGUUCUGGGAGGCAGAAGGGAA